CGGGCCCUUGUGAUUCAUAAUAACUUACGAAUCGCAUGGCCUUGUGCGCGGCGAUGGUUCAUUCAAAUUUCUUGCCCUAUCAAACUUUCGAUGGUAGAGUAGUGGUCUACCAUUGGUUUCAACGGGUAACGGGAAUUAGGGUUCUAUUCCGGAGAGGGAGCCUGAGAAACGGUACCACAUCCAAGGAAGGCAGCAGGCGCGCAAAUUACCCAAUCCCGACACGGGGAGGUAGUGACAAUAAAUACUGAUACAGGGCUCUUUGGGUCUUGUAAUUGGAAUGAGUACAAUUUAAAUCCCUUAACGAGGAACAAUUGGAGGGCAAGUCUGGUGCCAGCAGGCCGGGGUAAUUCCAGCUCCAAUAGCGUAUAUUAAAGUUGUUGCAGUUUAAAAAGCUCGUAGU
RNAcentral lists this ribosomal RNA (400 nucleotides) under uncultured fungus. Its description in RNAcentral is "SSU rRNA". It matches the Rfam family "Eukaryotic small subunit ribosomal RNA", at positions 237 to 634 of the family's 1831-position model. Lineage: Eukaryota; Fungi. The record is from RNAcentral.